CAAAACCGAGAUCAGCCCUAAACCCCAAUUCUUCCCAACCAAUUGAUUCCCUCGUCGGCAAUCUGCGCCGAGACGCAAAUCCCGAUCGAUUUCGCCGCUUUCGCUCCCCGUUCUUCACCGCCGCCACGGAACCCCUCUCUAGCCUUUCGAUGAGAAGGAGCUGCCGUGGCCGAUGACUCCGGAGAAGCAAAUGGCAGCCUCGCCGACAAUCUCCCGGUCGGUGACGGAGACCGUGAACGGGUCUCACAAGUUCGUGAUCAAGGGGUACUCCCUCGCUAAGGGCAUCGGUGUCGGGAAGCACAUCGCCAGUGAUACCUUCACCGUCGGAGGGUUCCAGUGGGCGAUCUACUUCUAUCCCGACGGGAAGAACCCCGAGGACAACUCCGCUUACGUGUCCGUGUUCAUCGCCCUCGCCAGUGAGGGGACGGACGUGAGGGCGCUCUUCGAGCUGACACUUGUGGAUCAGAGUGGCAAGGGGAAACACAAGGUUCACAGCCACUUCGAUCGAUCUCUUGAGAGCGGGCCUUACACCCUCAAGUACCGCGGUAGCAUGUGGGGUUAUAAACGCUUCUUCAGACGAACGGCUCUUGAAACAUCAGAUUACCUUAAGGAUGACUGCUUGAAGAUUAAUUGUACUGUGGGGGUUGUUGUGUCUGUUGUGGACUCACCCAGAUUACAUCACAUACAAGUUCCAGAGUCUGAUUUUGGAAUGCAUUUUGGUGUGAUUCUGGAUGAACAGGAAGGUUCAGACGUUGUUUUUGAUGUUGCUGGAGAAAAAUUUCAUGCCCAUAAGUUGGUGCUGGCUGCCCGAUCCCCAAUAUUUCACACACAGUUUUUUGAUGGUUUAGAUGGUGAAAGUAAUGAGAUCAUUGUUACAGAUAUGGAACCAGCAGUUUUUAAGGCAAUCCUACAUUUCAUCUACAGAGACACUCUAGUAGACGAUGAUAUGCUUGCUACACCAAACCUUCCUGAAUCUUCUAUCUCAGACACACUGGUUGCAAAACUGUUAGCUGCAGCUGACAGAUAUAGUUUGGGAAGGCUUCGACUUCUCUGUGAGGCUCAUUUAUGCAGGGAAAUAUCUGUGAACUCAGUUGCCAGCACUCUUGCAUUGGCUGAUCGUUGUCAUGCUAUUGAAUUAAAAGCUGCUUGUCUUAAAUUUGUUGCAGAAAAUCUUUCAGCUGUGAUGCGCUCGAGCGGAUUCGAGUACCUUAAGGACCAUUGUCCGUCACUGCAGUCAGAACUUUUGAAAAUAAUUGCAGGCUGUGAUGAGGAAUGCAGCAGUGGUGGGAAUAACAGGAGCGUGUGGGCUGAGCUUUCGGAUGGUGAGGAUUCCAAUGGCCGUAGGGUCUAUUAAAGGCUUGAGAGUUGUAAAGAUGAAACUUGCACUAGUGGAUUAUGGAACAAGGAGGCUCCCUCUCUUUUCUGACAUGAUUCAAGACUCUCUCUGUUUGAAACUAGCUGAUCCUGACCCGAAGAUGCUUCGAGGUUCACAUGAAACAGCAAUAUGAGGCCAUGACUACAGUGGCCUCAAUAUGAGGCCAUAUUUGUACACUGCACCAGACAAUGGUUGAAUCAUGUAGUUAGUUGCAUAAGAAGAUACCAAAAGAUUUUUUUAUAGAAUGAUCUUCUUUUGGUUGUUGUUA
Non-coding RNA from Musa acuminata subsp. malaccensis (wild Malaysian banana), 1643 nucleotides. Lineage: Eukaryota; Viridiplantae; Streptophyta; Magnoliopsida; Zingiberales; Musaceae. The record is from RefSeq and is a predicted model, not a curated record.